UACGUAGGGGGCAAGCGUUGUUCGGAUUUAUUGGGCGUAAAGAGCGUGUAGGCGGCCUGGAAGGUCAGCUGUGAAAACUCGAGGCUCAACCUCGAGACGUCGGUUGAAACCACCUGGCUAGAGUCCGGAAGAGGAGAGUGGAAUUCCCGGUGUAGCGGUGAAAUGCGCAGAUAUCGGGAAGAACACCCGUGGCGAAGGCGGCUCUCUGGGACGGUACUGACGCUGAGACGCGAAAGCGUGGGGAGCGAACAGG
RNAcentral lists this ribosomal RNA (253 nucleotides) under uncultured bacterium. RNAcentral describes it as "partial 16S ribosomal RNA". It matches the Rfam family "Bacterial small subunit ribosomal RNA", at positions 524 to 776 of the family's 1533-position model. The record is from RNAcentral.